CCUACGGGAGGCAGCAGUGAGGCAUAUUGGUCAAUGGCCGUAAGGCUGAACCAGCCAAGUCGCGUGAAGGAAGAAGGAUCUAUGGUUUGUAAACUUCUUUUAUAGGGGAAUAAAGGUAUCCACGUGUGGAUAUUUGCAUGUACCCUAUGAAUAAGCAUCGGCUAACUCCGUUCCAGCAGCCGCGGUAAUACAGAGGAUGCGCGCGUUAUCCGGAUUUAUUGGGUUUAAAGGGUGCGUAGGUUGUUUUUUAAGUCAGCGGUGAAAGUUUGUGGCUCAACCAUAAAAUUGCCGUUGAAACUGGAAGACGUGAGUGUGUUUGAGGUAGGCGGAAUGCGUGGUGUAGCGGUGAAAUGCAUAGAUAUCACGCAGAACUCCGAUUGCGAAGGCAGCUUACUAAGCCAUAACUGACACUGAAGCACGAAAGCGUGGGGAUCAAACAGGAUUAGAUACCCUGGUAGUC
Molecule: ribosomal RNA, 460 nt
Filed under: uncultured bacterium
Lineage: Bacteria
Description: partial 16S ribosomal RNA
Rfam family: Bacterial small subunit ribosomal RNA
Source: RNAcentral